UUUUUCACCGAUUGCCCUUUUCCGUGCUUCUUUCUUUUGAAUUUUCGAGUUGUCGAAUUUUUAUUUUUCUUUCUUUUUCUCGAUUCAUCAUUUUUUUCUUUUUCUCUUGUUUUUGCACUUUCUUGGGCUUUGAGAGCUUUUGGGGUUUUUUUACCCCAAACUUAGCUUUUCAACAUAGCUUUGAAUGCAUUAUCAUGACUCUGAACAGGGUGAGGAAGUGUUUUGGCUAAGGUUACAUUUAU
This 242-nucleotide long non-coding RNA is filed under the name Lathyrus oleraceus (garden pea). Its description in RNAcentral is "Pisum sativum (pea) long non-coding RNA (PSAT_LNC033414)". Lineage: Eukaryota; Viridiplantae; Streptophyta; Magnoliopsida; Fabales; Fabaceae. The record is from RNAcentral.